RNAcentral lists this ribosomal RNA (496 nucleotides) under uncultured bacterium. RNAcentral's name for it is "partial 16S ribosomal RNA". It matches the Rfam family "Bacterial small subunit ribosomal RNA", at positions 28 to 506 of the family's 1533-position model. The record is from RNAcentral.
GAUGAACGCUGGCGGCGUGCCUAAUACAUGCAAGUCGAGCGAACAGACGAGGAGCUUGCUCCUCUGACGUUAGCGGCGGACGGGUGAGUAACACGUGGAUAACCUACCUAUAAGACUGGGAUAACUUCGGGAAACCGGAGCUAAUACCGGAUAAUAUAUUGAACCGCAUGGUUCAAUAGUGAAAGACGGUUUUGCUGUCACUUAUAGAUGGAUCCGCGCCGCAUUAGCUAGUUGGUAAGGUAACGGCUUACCAAGGCAACGAUGCGUAGCCGACCUGAGAGGGUGAUCGGCCACACUGGAACUGAGACACGGUCCAGACUCCUACGGGAGGCAGCAGUAGGGAAUCUUCCGCAAUGGGCGAAAGCCUGACGGAGCAACGCCGCGUGAGUGAUGAAGGUCUUCGGAUCGUAAAACUCUGUUAUUAGGGAAGAACAAAUGUGUAGGUAACUAUGCACGUCUUGACGGUACCUAAUCAGAAAGCCACGGCUAACUACGU